AAAAAAAACGUUCCCCCCCCAAAAAAGGAUCCACAAGUAUGUGACACAGAGCAAGAAAUGUUCAAGUUUUGAUGCAUGUCAGCUUCCUGCAAAGGUACUCAAUGUAGAGGAAGAGGUCGACAUGCAAUGGAAGAAGCCACCUACAGAGUUGAUAAGUCUCCUAGCCAGAAUCUGGAGUACCUGUUACAUCCCAAGGAAUUCCAAACACUGAGGCCACAUGAAUGGUUAUUUGGAGAGGAAUACAUAUCAAAACAAAAAUCUGAAUGCAUAAUUGUACAAUUAUAUUUGUAUUUGUAAAUGCUGUCCUCAAUAUAUUCAAGUAUUUUGAUUCAAAUUGACGUUUGAUUCAAAAUGCUGUAUUAUUUGUAGACUAUUGAGUGCUAUUUAAGAGCUGUACUUAAUAUGAAGGGUGCAAAUCUCUACCAGCAAAACCAUUACACCACAGGUGUCAUUUUAAAUAGCACAAGGGAGCAGAUGGCAUGGCAAAGAUUGCGAAAAGUCAACUUUGAGCAAUAUGAUGGGCUCAUCACUUUCGUAAAUAUCAACAACAUACACUAGAG
Onychostoma macrolepis is the source of this 560-nucleotide long non-coding RNA. RefSeq lists it as uncharacterized. Lineage: Eukaryota; Metazoa; Chordata; Actinopteri; Cypriniformes; Cyprinidae. The record is from RefSeq and is a predicted model, not a curated record. The transcript is spliced from 3 exons.